This 314-nucleotide long non-coding RNA is filed under the name Vigna radiata. RNAcentral's name for it is "long non-coding RNA (VRAD_LNC000980)". The record is from RNAcentral. Lineage: Eukaryota; Viridiplantae; Streptophyta; Magnoliopsida; Fabales; Fabaceae.
UGGACUUCUCUGCUUGCCAAAAGAUUACUUUGAGGGUCGCAUUGGGGCUAUUUAUAAAGCAUAAAAGUAACAGAAUUUAAGCUCAGACCCAACUUUGCACCACUGAGUGCCUAAAUUGGCCGCUCAACGGUUUGCCUAUAAUCGCAGGAUCGCUCAGCGGUCAGUCCCACCGCUCAGCGGUUUGCCUCUAAUCGUUUUGGACGCUCAGCGGCACCGCUUGAGCAAGAAAUAAUGAUUUCCCCCUAGUCUUUGGCGCUCAGUGUUGGAUUUUGGCGUUAAGCGGUGAACUUGACUCUUCUUUUCUUCCUUUUUUC